RNAcentral lists this ribosomal RNA (293 nucleotides) under uncultured bacterium. Its description in RNAcentral is "partial 16S ribosomal RNA". It matches the Rfam family "Bacterial small subunit ribosomal RNA", at positions 52 to 317 of the family's 1533-position model. The record is from RNAcentral.
UACAUGCAAGUCGAACGAACUCUGGUAUUGAUUGGUGCUUGCAUCAUGAUUUACAUUUGAGUGAGUGGCGAACUGGUGAGUAACACGUGGGAAACCUGCCCAGAAGCGGGGGAUAACACCUGGAAACAGAUGCUAAUACCGCAUAACAACUUGGACCGCAUGGUCCGAGUUUGAAAGAUGGCUUCGGCUAUCACUUUUGGAUGGUCCCGCGGCGUAUUAGCUAGAUGGUGGGGUAACGGCUCACCAUGGCAAUGAUACGUAGCCGACCUGAGAGGGUAAUCGGCCACAUUGGG